Long non-coding RNA from Oryzias melastigma (Indian medaka), 2368 nucleotides. RefSeq lists it as uncharacterized. The transcript has 6 exons. Lineage: Eukaryota; Metazoa; Chordata; Actinopteri; Beloniformes; Adrianichthyidae. The record is from RefSeq and is a predicted model, not a curated record.
CCUGAUCUUUGUUCCACGACACGCACUUCAGAUGGAUGUUGUUCGGAAUCGCGAUCUGUUCGGAACCACAGCCGGGCUUAGUGCGUCUUCUGAGGACAUGUUUGCUGUAUGGAGGCAGAUGACUUACCUUCUUGCUGAGGCUCUGCAGGCUCUCAACACUGAGGAUUUGAACAGGACAAGGCAGAGAUUGUUUGGCAGAGAGAGGAUGUAAACCUGUCUGUCUUCAGCUUUCCAUCACAUAUCUAAACAAUGGAAGCGACAUUCAAGAACAUCUUGAUUUCAGCACGACACGCACUCAACUCCAUCUCCUGACUGCAGACCGAAGUAGGAAAGAAAUCCACCAGUUCUUUAUCACCAAUGCCAUCGCCUGCAGUUUGCAGUUUGGACUCCCCAGUCCAGCAGACAGAAUCUUCACAGCAGAUUCCUGAAGGGGGUUCCCACUCAGGUCCAGCUCUCUCAGAUGGGACGGGUUGGACUUCAGAGCGGAGGCCACAACCUCACACUAACAUUUGUGUUGACACACACGAGGCACAGGACGCCAAUAGAGGCCCAGCUAAAAGAAAACAAGCAGACUGACCACAGCGGGGAGUUAUGAUGUCACCAGACAGCUGCUCCUCACCACACCUGCCACUGUUUUUUGUCUCUCUGUAAAGAAGAAAAAGUUCUGAGGAAAAACCACCUGAAUACUUGACGGGAUGAGUUUUCUGAAAAGAUAAAACUUUAAGUGAUUUUCAGUGUUUGGCAUUAAACAGAGAUUUUAAAAAACAUACUUUAAGACUGAGAGUGUCCAACUUCACACUUUACAAAAAUGGCGUAUACUUAUUUUUGUCUUGCUUUGAGGCCCAAAGUGCUUUACAGUCACAGUUCAUGCACACACAUAUGAUGCCAUAUUGAUGCCAAAAGUUUAGAAAACCAAAAAGCAAAUUGAAACUGAAUGCUGAAAAAUAAAUAAAAUCAUAAACAGACUUUGACAAAGAGAAUAAUGAUUUCUGGAAGUCACAUAUAACCUUGAUGUUUUUUUGUAAGUUUCUGUUUUCAACUUUCAUAACUCAAAUUUAAACAGAUAAUAAGGAAUCAAACUUACUGCAAAAACAUGUUUUUGAGAGAAUCAUAGAAACGUAUAAGGAAACUAAAAAAUGUCUUUAUUCUCCAUUAACUUAAAAAAAAUCUAAAUUAAAUGUGACUUUUUUUUGUUGCUAUAGUCAGUUUAAUAAUAAUAAAUACCAAAGAGUUGCUCCUGUUGAACUGGCUCACUGCUUCCUCGUAAAUGUUACAUAAACGUGACAACAAUUUCAGAAAUGAAGAUGCAGAUUUGAACAGUGAAUUUUAAGAAGAUUUUUAUUCUGAGUUCAGCAGAAAUGAUCUCUUACGUCUCGUCUGAAGGUUCAUGGUUGAAGUAAGGGUUUUUAUCCUUGGAUAGAUCACUGCUCAUGGACACACAGCUGGAUGAUGAAGAGGGGACUCCUGCUCCAAGAUGAUGUUUCCUAAAAAAAAAAAAAACAAAUGCUUCUUUAAGAUACUUUGGAGGCCGUCUUCUGGACAGAUACGCCGGUUCAACUCCCAAAGAAAAGGGGCUGAGAGUUGUCCUUCAAAAACAGGAGAUCCACACUCCUCAGACCCCUGACAGAUCCAUGCAGGAGUUCUGGAGGCAGGAGUCCAAUCAGUCUGUAUAUGUCAGAUUCAGGAGGAUCUCUUCUGACCAUGGAACAGUGGACCAGCUCUUUACCCUGGCAAGGAUCCUACAUUGAUCUUUGCAGUUUGCACAUCAAGUUUCAUUGACUUGGAAAAGAGAUAACCAAAGAAAAGAAUUAAAGAAAACAUCUCAAUUUAAUUUAUUUAGUGUUCCUAAAAGUGAGCUUGGGUACACUUCUCCAUUCCUGCUCCACAACAUCCACCUCUUCUCUUCUGUGAUCUCUAACAUGUCCACAUUCACCAGAUCUUUCUGUUUCCAUCACAUUUGAUUAAAUUUUCAGCACAUUUCAAUCUCUGUUCUUCAACUUCCUAACCUGCUGCACAUCCUUCCAUCUUGAUAUUCUCCAACUUCUGAGAAAAUUACUCCUUUAGUGAACUAACAGAAACUCUUACUUCUCAUCUGAAGCUCCACGGCUGAAGUAAGGGUUUUUAUCCUUGGAUUGAUCACUCCUUAUGGACACACGGCUGGAUGAUGAAGAGCAGGAUCCCCGUUUGAGCCGAUGUUUUCUAAGAACACAAACAACUCUUUUAUUUAAGUUCAGUCAAACUUUUGAGUUUAGAGUUUCAUGUUGUUUGAGGAGACAGAACUGAAACAAACACAAAGAAGAUAUUUAGGAAGAAAGUGACUGAAUUCAUGCAGCGCUAAAACUCAGGAGGUCUUUUAAAAAAUCAAAAA